This 958-nucleotide long non-coding RNA is filed under the name Olea europaea subsp. europaea. The record is from RNAcentral. Lineage: Eukaryota; Viridiplantae; Streptophyta; Magnoliopsida; Lamiales; Oleaceae.
GCGGACAGAAAUAUUCUAAAAUAUAAACUGUGAUAAAGAAACCUGUAGAGGAGUUGUAAACUACUGGAUGAUGAUGGAAAACAAAGAUGUCAAGUGUAGCGGAAUAGAUCUUCAAUUCGUGGAAUUCGAGUACAGCAUACCAAUCCCAACCUUAUCAAACACACCCAAGUAAUGGCUCCAAUCCACAACUAUUUUUACUUCGGUUGCUCAACUCAAUGUAUUCACAAUGAUCACAAUAGGGUGGCUGCAAUAAGUAACCAAGAAGAGAGGAAGAUAAGUUUCAACUCCAAGAGAGAGAACACAAUAAAAGUUGGCGGCCUUUUCUCACAAUUACACACACACAGAGCUUCUUCAAGCAAUGAGGCCAAUAUAUUUUUAGGGUGUAAUAGUAAUGGGCUAAUAUAGUGGGCUCAUGGACCAACACAUGGUAAAGGGCCGGAACACAAAAGAGAGACAUUCAAGAAGUAAAUGGGUCGUGAGCAACAUUAAUUAAAUUAAGUUGCUUUCAAUGAUCCUCAAGUUGUUUUCAGGUUAAGCCAACUAAUUGAGUGUGUUGAUAGAUAUUUCACUCAUCAGCCGAAGCCUAUGAAAUAUAUCCGAAAACUGUUUAACCUCAUUGCCCAAGAUCUAUUGGGAUCAAAACCCAACAUCAGGAAAGGAAAUUUACCUCGUCCGAGUUUUCUCUUAGCAGCAAGGUUUUUUCAUCGUACACAAACCUCAUGAAUGUGUACUCCAAUUAAUUCUUUUCUUUGCAAUAAGCCAUCAAUAGGCUUUGUAUUUUAUAGUCAUGUCAAACUCGAUGGUAGAUUUCAUCUCCAUCCUACCAUGCCAAAAGCAAAAUGAUGCAAAGAGAGUGGCUAGGGUCUAGGGACCAUACAAAAACCAAUUGAGCAGCAUACAUACUUUUCAUAUAGACAAUUAAUAUAAACAAGAUGCCAAAAAAUAUUUCACUCGAAAC